GGGGGUGUAGCUGAGUGGUAGAGCAGGUUCUUAGCAUGCAUGAGGCCCUGGGUUCAACCCCAGCAACCCCC
This 71-nucleotide transfer RNA is filed under the name Heterocephalus glaber (naked mole-rat). It matches the Rfam family "tRNA". Rfam says of the family: Transfer RNA (tRNA) molecules are approximately 80 nucleotides in length. The record is from Rfam by way of RNAcentral. Lineage: Eukaryota; Metazoa; Chordata; Mammalia; Rodentia; Bathyergidae.